UACAGAGGGUGCAAGCGUUAAUCGGAAUUACUGGGCGUAAAGGGCGCGUAGGCGGGGAAAUAAGUCAGAUGUGAAAGUCCUGGGCUUAACCUAGGGAUGGCAUUUGAUACUAUUUUGCUAGAGUAGAGUAGAGGGGAGUGGAAUUUCCGGUGUAGCGGUGAAAUGCGUAGAUAUCGGAAGGAACACCGGUGGCGAAGGCGGCUCCCUGGGCUCAUACUGACGCUGAGGCGCGAAAGCGUGGGGAGCGAACAGG
RNAcentral lists this ribosomal RNA (253 nucleotides) under uncultured bacterium. RNAcentral's name for it is "partial 16S ribosomal RNA". It matches the Rfam family "Bacterial small subunit ribosomal RNA", at positions 524 to 776 of the family's 1533-position model. The record is from RNAcentral.